Molecule: ribosomal RNA, 871 nt
Filed under: Halorubrum sp. ADMK105
Lineage: Archaea; Methanobacteriati; Methanobacteriota; Halobacteria; Halobacteriales; Haloferacaceae
Description: bacterial SSU rRNA
Rfam family: Archaeal small subunit ribosomal RNA
Source: RNAcentral
AGGGCCAUUGCUAUUGGGAUCCGAUUUAGCCAUGCUAGUCGCACGAGUUCAGACUCGUGGCGAAUAGCUCAGUAACACGUGGCCAAACUACCCUUUCGGAACACAAUACCCUCGGGAAACUGAGGCUAAUAGUGUAUACCAUACCACCACUGGAAUGAGUGGUAUGCCAAACGCUCCGGCGCCGAAGGAUGUGGCUGCGGCCGAUUAGGUAGACGGUGGGGUAACGGCCCACCGUGCCAAUAAUCGGUAUGGGUCAUGAGAGUGAGAACCCAGAGACGGAAUCUGAGACAAGAUUCCGGGCCCUACGGGGCGCAGCAGGCGCGAAACCUUUACACUGCACGACAGUGCGAUAGGGGGAUCCCAAGUGCACAGGCAUAGCGCCUGUGCUUUUCGGUACCCUAAGGCGGUACCAGAAUAAGGGCUGGGCAAGACCGGUGCCAGCCGCCGCGGUAAUACCGGCAGCCCAAGUGAUGGCCGAUCUUAUUGGGCCUAAAGCGUCCGUAGCUGGCCGCGCAAGUCCAUCGGGAAAUCCACCUGCUCAACAGGUGGGCGCCCGGUAGAAACUGCGUGGCUUGGGACCGGAAGGCGCGACGGGUACGUCCGGGGUAGGAGUGAAAUCCCGUAAUCCUGGACGGACCGCCGAUGGCGAAAGCACGUCGCGAGAACGGAUCCGACAGUGAGGGACGAAAGCCAGGGUCUCGAACCGGAUUAGAUACCCGGGUAGUCCUGGCCGUAAACAAUGUCUGCUAGGUGUGGCUCCCACUACGAGUGGGUGCUGUGCCGCAGGGAAGCCGCUAAGCAGACCGCCUGGGAAGUACGUCCGCAAGGAUGAAACUUAAAGGAAUUGGCGGGGGGAGCACUACAACCGGGA